UGAAUGGUCUCUGUUGACCAUUGGAUGGUACAUGUUCCAUCUCCACAUCAAAAUAAAAAAUAAAAAUUAAUAUUCAGGAAGAUGGUGAUAUUAGAGGCAAGCAGGAAUGCAGAAGGUUUGAGUGUAUACUUAGUUAAAAUGAAAUACUGAUUAACUGAUUUCAUAAUAUGAAUCAUAAUUCCUGAGGAAUAUUUACAUUGUAAAUGUGCUCAAUCAGUUUCUAAAUACAAUGGCUGUUGCUUGUUUAGAAAUCUGUUUCUAGACAGCCAGGACUACACAGAGAAACCCUGUCUCAAAAAAACAAAACAAAACAAAACAAACAAACAAAAAAAAAGAAAUCUGUUUCUAAAAGCUGGUGCUUUUGUCUAAUCAGAUAUAAACUUUAUGUCACAUAUAUGUGAUAUGAAAUAUAUGAUGAGUGAAAUUUCAUAUAUGUGAACUAUAUAUGAUGAGUGAGGAUAUAUAGGAGUGAGUUUUUUUAACUUUUAAAAUUGACUUUUCAUGAUAGAAAUUUUAUACAAUAAAAUUCCAUUUUAAGCAUAUUCUGGGUUUUGGUAGGUUUUGGAAUAUAUACAGCUGUGUAACCCUCGCCAUGGCUCAAAAUAACCUCCACAUUUCUAAUAGCCUCCAUUUUUCCUUUGCUCCUGUUUAUAAUCCACUCCUUUCCUCUCCUUCCUUGUCUGCAGCAAGCUAACGAUGUCACAACUGCUUUGCUGUGCCUGAGAUUUCAUAUAAAUGCUGUCCUAUGGCGUGUAUCUUUUUAUGGUUUCUCUUGGCUAAUAUGCAUUGUAAAAAUUUCACGUCGCUGCAUGUGUCAGGAAUUUGUCCCUUUUUAUCCCUUGCAUGGCUGUGCCUCCGUUUGUCUGUUCACUAGACAGCAGACAUUUGAUUUCUCUGCAGUUUUUUUUUUUUUAAUCAUUGUAAAUAAACUAUAGUGGAUAUUCAAAUACAUUUCUUUUGGUGAGGGAAUGUCUUAAUAAAUGAAAUAUAGUAAUAUGUUUCAAUAAGAAGUUUGUCAUGCAGUCUCUUUGUUUGAGACUGGAUCUCACUGUGUAGCUCUGGCUAUCCUGGAACACCCUGUGUUGACCAGGCUGUCCUGGAACUCAAAGAAAUUUUGCUUCCUCUCCCUCCCAAGUACUAGAGUUAAAUGCUGCAUUCAAAGAGAAGAGGGCUUGAGAUCAGCAGAACUAAAAGCAGUAUGUGCAUGGUUGUGUUUUAGUAGAAUUCCUGAAUGGGAGGUGGGGCUACUGAUAUGUCUUUCGGCUACUUGCUGAAAUAUACCUGCCCCUUUGAGCUGUAAGCCUUCUUCCUUAAUGAAUUCUCUGAAGGUAUUUCUGCUAGUAGAUAAAGCCAAAGUUCACAUCAUAUGUAUCUUUAAUUAGUGAGAUCUGUAUAUUUAUGCUCUUAUUAUUUUCUGAUUUAGACAAACAUUGUUAUUAUUAUUUUUUUUUAGUCAGAACUUCUAACCACAGGACCAUCUCUCAAGGCUCUCCCUUUUAAUAGUGUCAUUUGUUUGUUUGUUUGUUCUGAUGUGUAUGUGUUUUUAAUCAAGUGAUUGACUGACUGAUAUCUUUACAAAUUAAAUUAAAUUUUUUUCAAUUAAAUAUGAUAACAUUUAUUUGAAUUCAUCACUUUUUUGUUUACAUCUGGAUAGCCUUUUUCUUUUCUUUAAAAAAAAAAACCUUUUAUUUAUUUACUUUUACACUCCAGAUUUUCUGCACCCUCUGACUGUUGCACAUCCCAUACCUCUUCCCUGCCCCCUGUCUCCAUGCGGAUGUCCCCCCUCCUACACCACCAGACCUCUAAACUCCCUGGGGCCUCCAGUCUCUCGAGGGUUAGGUGCAUCUUCUCAGAUUGAACCCAGACCUGCCAGUCCUCUGCUAUAUAUGUGUUGGGGACCUCAUAUCAGCUGUGUAUGAUGCCUGGUUGGUGGUCCAGUGUUUGAGAGAUCUCGGGGUUCCAGGUUAAUUGAGACUGUUGCUCCUCCUACAGGGUCACCCUCCUCCUCCUCAGCUUCUUUCAGCUUUUCCCUAAGUCGACCACAGGGGUCAGCAGCUUCUCUCCAUUGGUUGGGUAUAAAUAUCUGCAUCUGAUUCUUUCAGCUGCUUGUUGGGUCUUUCGGAGGGCAGUCAUGAUAGGUCCCUUUUUGUGAGUACUCCAUAGCCUCAGUAAUAGUAUCAGGCCUUGGGACCUACCCUUGAGCUGGAUCCCACUUUGGGCCUGUCGCUGGGCCUUCUUUUCCUCAGGCUCCUCUCCAUCUCCAUCCCUGUAAUUCUUUCAAACAGGAACAAUUAUGGGUCAGAAUUUUGAUUGUAGGAUGGCAACCCCAUCCCUCACUUGAUGGCCUGUCUUUCUGCUGGAGGUGGGUUCUACAAGUUCCCUCUCCCCAUUGUAGGGCAUUUUAGAUGAACAUUUUUUUAAGACUAAAAAUAUACCAUCGAGGCAUGUCACUUCUUGUAGGAAAUUCCACAAUAUUAUUCUAACUUAAAUAUAAAUGUAGCUGUGGAUGAAGUAGGACUUUAUUAUCAGGAUACAAUUCAAAAGUAUGUGUGUUACUAUAAUUGUUUCAUUGUUAUUUAGUAGUAGUAAACACUGAUGACUAUCAGAGACUACACCUGAAAAGGAAAGUAUUUAUUCUAAGCAUAUUAAAUGGAGAAAAGGACACUAGAGGCUAGUUUAUAUAGCAUGCUUCAAUGUACAUAGAAACUAGAUCUGGAAUUAUAUUUAUUACACGACACACAAAAAUAUACCUAAAGAGCAUGCAUGGGAAUGCCUUUGGAGAUCAAGAAUAGGGACAAAAGGAGCUUUUUACAUCUGACGUUUAUCUUAUGUAUUGUUUGAAUUGUUUCAACAUGAAUGUGCUUGUGAAACACCCUAAGUUAAUGCCAACCACUACGGAAAAUAUGAAAGCAAACGAUACUAUCCAGGUUUCAUUCAGUGCUUAUAGUUAUAGUGGACAAGGCACCAUACAUGUGUCAUAAGCUCAUUAGAUUACAACAGGAAGACUAUAAGACGUAUGUAUCUACCGAGAACUCUGCGCAUGACGAGCCUGAAGCCUGAAGCAUAAGGGGAUUUUUGGUUAGAUGUGUACGCCAAUGUUUGAGAUAAGAAUUCAAAUAAAAAUGUGGACUCUGGGCAUUACUAGGGACGAUUAGUGACUUGUAGAUGAUAUCUUUGGCAUGACCAGGAGGACUACAGAGAUUGUGGCUGGCUAGUUGUAUAAAGAAGGGGAAAGUGAAGAUGUGUUCCUUAUCUGCUGAUGUUUCCAGGGGUUCUUAGGAUUUUAAUUCAAAGAGAAUGUGGGUAUUUGAUGUAUUCCAAGGACUCUUGUUUAAUGAAUGGAAUUUUAGAUGAUAAAGGAUCUGCACUUUGAGGGCUCCUUAUUUGUUGUUGUUUUUUGGUUUUUAUUUUUUUUGGAUGUGUCUCGAAACAAAAAUAUCUGAGCAAUUUCUCAUAAGAACUGACUUGGUAUAACAAGAAAGAAUUUUCAUAUCUUCCAGGAUUAUUGUUUGAUUGCAAAAAAAGCUAAUAAAUGAUUUCGUCUGUUAAAAUGGUUACCUAACUGC
This 3566-nucleotide long non-coding RNA is filed under the name Mus musculus (house mouse). RNAcentral describes it as "long non-coding RNA chr3:126644460-126648026". Lineage: Eukaryota; Metazoa; Chordata; Mammalia; Rodentia; Muridae. The record is from RNAcentral.